RNAcentral lists this ribosomal RNA (500 nucleotides) under uncultured Glomeromycotina. RNAcentral describes it as "partial small subunit ribosomal RNA". It matches the Rfam family "Eukaryotic small subunit ribosomal RNA", at positions 591 to 1092 of the family's 1831-position model. The record is from RNAcentral. Lineage: Eukaryota; Fungi; Glomeromycota.
CCAAUAGCGUAUAUUAAAGUUGUUGCAGUUAAAAAGCUCGUAGUUGAAUUUCGGGGUCAGUAGGUUGGUCAUGCCACUGGUAUGUACUGGUCUCACUGAUUCCUCCUUCCUGAUGAGCCGUAAUGCCAUUAAUUUGGUGUUGCGGGGAAUCUGGACUUUUACUUUGAAAAAAUUAGAGUGUUUAAAGCAGGCUAACUCUUGAAUACAUUAGCAUGGAAUAAUGAAAUAGGACGUUCGAUCUUAUUUUGUUGGUUUCUAAGAUUGACGUAAUGAUUAAUAGGGAUAGUUGGGGGCAUUAGUAUUCAAUUGUCAGAGGUGAAAUUCUUGGAUUUAUUGAAGACUAACUACUGCGAAAGCAUUUGCCAAGGAUGUUUUCAUUAAUCAAGAACGAAAGUUAGGGGAUCGAAGACGAUCAGAUACCGUCGUAGUCUUAACCAUAAACUAUGCCGACUAGGGAUCGGAUGAUGUUAAUUUUUUAAUGACUCAUUCGGCGCCUUACG